CCGGUGAUUCCUGCCGGACCCGACUGCUAUCAGAGUGGGACUAAGCCAUGCGAGUUGACGUAGUAAUACGUAGCGAACGGCUCAGUAACACGUAGUCAACAUGCCCAGGGGACGUGGAUAACCUCGGGAAACUGAGAAUAAACCGCGAUAGGUCACAAUUUCUGGAAUGGAUUUUGGCUUAAAUCUACAUGGCCCCUGGAUUGGACUGCGGCCGAUCAGGCUGUUGGUGAGGUAAUGGCCCACCAAACCUGUAACCGGUACGGGCUCUGAGAGGAGGAGCCCGGAGAUGGGCACUGAGACAAGGGCCCAGGCCCUAUGGGGCGCAGCAGGCGCGAAACCUCUGCAAUGGGCGAAAGCCUGACAGGGUUACUCUGAGUGAUUUCCGCUAAGGGGAUCUUUUGACACCUCUAAAAAUGGUGCAGAAUAAGGGGUGGGCAAGCCUGGUGUCAGCCGCCGCGGUAAUACCAGCACCCCGAGUGGUCGGGACGAUUAUUGGGCCUAAAGCAUCCGUAGCCGGUCAUGCAAGUCUUCCGUUAAAUCCACCCGCUCAACGGUUGGGCUGCGGAGGAUACUACGUGGCUAGGAGGCGGGAGAGGCAAGCGGUACUCAGUGGGUAGGGGUAAAAUCCUUUGAUCCAUUGAAGACCACCAGUGGCGAAGGCGGCUUGCCAGAACGCGCUCGACGGUGAGGGAUGAAAGCUGGGGGAGCAAACCGGAUUAGAUACCCGGGUAGUCCCAGCUGUAAACGAUGCAGACUCGGUGAUGGGAUGGCCUCGAGCUAUCCCAGUGCCGCAGGGAAGCCGUUAAGUCUGCCGCCUGGGGAGUACGGUCGCAAGACUGAAACUUAAAGGAAUUGGCGGGGGAGCACCACAAGGGGUGAAGCCUGCGGUUCAUUUGGAUUCACGCCGGGACUCUAGAGAUCCCC
RNAcentral lists this ribosomal RNA (924 nucleotides) under uncultured archaeon. RNAcentral's name for it is "bacterial SSU rRNA". It matches the Rfam family "Archaeal small subunit ribosomal RNA", at positions 4 to 937 of the family's 1478-position model. The record is from RNAcentral.